GUGUGUGUGUGUGUGCGCGCGCGCGCGCGCACGCACACACGUUCACAGAAAACAACUUUAGGUGUCAUCCUCAGAAACACUGUCUGCAUCCUUUGAGAGAACGUCUCUCACUACUCUGGAAUUAGGCCAGUGAGCCCAGGGAUGGUUCUGUCUCUGCCUCGUCAGCAUUGAUGUUAUCAAUCUAUGUGUGCUAUGGUAUCUAACCAACAGUUCUUACAUGAGUGCUACAGUUCAAACUCAGAUCCGCAUGUUUGUUAGAAUGACUUAAGCUAUCUUUCCAGUCCCUGAAAUAUGCUUUCAAAAGGAAAAAUAAAGCAAAUCCUAAAAACUAUCUAAGAAUACAAGAUGUAUGACCUGGGGUAGGUAGGUCAAUGAUAUCUGCACCAAGUUUCAGAAAAGUUUGAUUUUUGCAUAUGGGAAAUGAACUAAGUAGGCAAGCUCUUGAUCUUGUCUUCAUAUGUCGGUAAAGUGUAGUCUCAUGAACUACCAGCCAAUCCACCCAGCUAUUGUAAGUAGCAAACUAAAAAUCUGGUCAGGGCAUAUUGUAAGCUACAAAGCUCAAUAUAAUCACUGGUAAAUGACAUAAGAAGAGACCUCAGGAAUAACGCAGGCAUUUUCAUCUAUAGAGUUGGUUCUCUUAUAAAAUGGGAUAGAGACUACUUAUACUUAGCUCAUUAGAUUUCUUAAAUAUAUUAUUAUAUGAACGUCUUUCAAGUGUUUAAGUGGCAUGUAGCUACUUGGUAAUAAACUAUUUGUUUAACAUGGCAGCCACACUAAUAGAUGUGCACAUAAUAAUCUCUCAAAAGCUGAGAAUAUUAGGGACUACAGAGAACAAUUAGCUAGUUUGGGAGAAGUUAUGCUCGGGUGCAGUUUCCCUUCCUUUCCUUUUUAGAUGUUCCUAGUACAAUUCUGUAACCCAUCAGAUGUGUAUGAUUUUCUUACUGGAGUUUCUGGAAGCACUGUUGUCACCAUGAAGGUAAGCAAGAGUGACUGGAUCAAGAAGUGAAAUUGGGGAAGAAGAAGGUGGCUUCCUGGCUAUGACUAAUGAAUUUGAAAUCAAGACUAACUUCUUCCACAUACUUUUAAGUAAGUGUGUGGUAGAAAAAAUUACUAUUGUUCUCUUUACAUGGAACAUUAAUCCAUACAGACUCAAAGACUAGACAGCAUAAUAAUUUAUGAAGAGAUGUACUAACAAAAACUCUUUACCACCUGUCAUUUAUAUUGUGUUUUUUUGAGACAGCCUGGCUAACCUCAGAGUUAAUAUGUAGAUGAGCCUUAACUCCUGAUUCUUCUUCCUCCAUCUUCAUGUGCUUAGAAUUAAAAGUGUACACACAGUUACUAUCUCUCCUACCAUCGUGUGUGUAUUCUUGGGAACUGACCCCAGGCCUUGCACAUGCUAGACAAGUGUGCUACCCUGAGCUAUACUCACUGCUUACUUCCAUUUUCAGCAUGAGUCAAGGUCUUGCUAAAAUGGCAAUUUUUCAAUUAUUCUACCUUAGUCUACUGAACAGAUAGGAUUACCUGUGUGCCAACAUGCUUGGCCCCUCAAAUGCUAAUGUGUAAGAUUCUUCAUUUUUAGGGCCGUUAGGAUGUCUUAGCAGACUAGGGCACUUGCUGCCAAACCUGAAGACCCCAGUUCCAUUCCUGGGGCCCAUGUAAUGGAAGAACAACUGUAUUCUGAUAGUGCCUCAUGGUGCAAGCACAUGCACAGGUACACAUGGACACACACACACAUGGACACACAUACACACUACAUGUAAUAAAAAGUUAGAAACAUUAAUUUUUGGCUUUUGCUAAACAAUAGCCUACUAGCAAACUCAAUUCAUCAAGUCUUUUCAUCCUGUUUCUUAGAGAUUAAUGUAGGGAAAGAAAGAGUGAUAACACCUGCUGUGCUUUGAAUAUGCUUGGCCCUAUUAGGAGGUGUGGCCUUGUCUGAGGAAGUGUGUCACUGUGGUGGUGGGCUUUGAGACCCUCCUCCUAGCUGCCUGGAAGACAGUAGGCUGUUUGUUGCUUCCUUUGGAUAAAGAUGUAGAACUCUGAGCUCCUUCUCCAGCACCACGUCUGCCUGGAUGCUGCCAUGCUUCCUGCCAUGAUGAUCAUGGACUGAACCUCUGAGCCUGUAAGCCAGCCCCAGUCAAAUGCUGUUCUUUAUAAGACUUGCUGUGGUUGUGAUGUCUCUUCACAGGAACGGAAACCUUAACCAAUACACCUGAAAACCCCAAAGGCUCAAGAUUAAAGAACAGUAUUUUAGUUAAAGCACUCCUGGUGAUGUUGUAAGUAAUGCUUUUUCUUUCUUCUUUUUGAAUAAAACUGAGCUUACUGUAAUUUUAUAAAUUAUAUAACAAAAUUGUUCUGCUAUAAAAAGGGCCCUCCCCAUAACAUAAACAUGGUUUCUUUAUUUAUUUAGAGGCAGAGUCUAGUAUGUACCUUUGGCUGUCCUCGAACUUGCCAUGUAGGCCAGGAUGGCCUCAAAAAACACUAAAAAACUUGGAAGUUUUAUUUUUAUUUAAUGCACAUAGAGUGUUUUGCUACAUGUAUGUCUGUGUGUCAUAUGACAGUAUCUACAGAGGCCAUUACAGGGUGUCAGACCCUGUGGGACUGGAGUUACAGACAGUUAUAAGCUAUGAUUUGGGUGCGGGGAAGUGAGCCAAGUUCCUUGAAAGUACAAGCGCUCUUAACUGUUGAGCCAUCUCUCUAGCCCAUGAAAAUAAUUCAUAUUGUCAUAUAUGUUCAUGGUCAUCAAGUUAAGAUUGCUUAGUGUUUUUAAGACAAUAUUGUGGGAGUAAAAGUCACUAGUAGGACUGACUAACUCAUUUGUUUUAUUUUUUGAAGCUGUGCCUUGCUGUUGUAGUAUUAGCUAGUCCAGAACUUAACUACAUGGCCCAGGCUGGACUUAAAACUUAUGGCAAUUCUCCUGCCCCAGUGUCUCAAGUGCUAGAAUUACAGGUGUGCACAACACCUGGUCACUAUUAAAAAGAUCUCCAAAUAAGCUGAGUGUGAGUCUUUAAUUCCAGAACUCAGGAGGCAGCAGCAGGUGGAUCUGCUACUUUAAGACCAGCUUGAACUACAUAGCAAAUUCCAGGGCAGCCAGAACUACGUAAGAGAGACCCAUUAUCAAUAAGCAAACAAAUAAAUAAAAAUGAAGUGUUAGGGUCAGCCAUGGUGAUGUGCAGAAACCAAGAACAUCAUGAGUGGAAGACCAGACUCUCAGGUAUUUAAGGACUGCCUGACUAACAAGAUGCUGUCUCAGACAGAGAGAGGGGAAGGGAGAGGCACAGAGAGGAUAGCUCAAGCUUAGUGACAGUGCUUGCCUAUCAUGCUCUAGGCCCUGGGUUCCAUGAGCUAGUUUAAACUACUGGGAAAAAAAAUAGUUCUUGAAAAGCUAUAACGAAAAAGUAAUUUACUAGAAAUAAAAUUCAAAGACAACUAUUACUCUUUAAAAUGAAAGUUGAAUGGCUAGGGAUGUAGCUCAACAGGUGGAGUGCUUGCCUAAUGUGCGUGCGUGCGUGCGUGCGUGAGUCUUUGUGGCACUAGAUGAAGGGAUGCUCCCUUUGGUAACUCAAGCACUUUCAGAGGCAGGAGAAUUAGAGGUUUAGGUGCUCUUUAGCUAAAAAGCAAGUUCUAGGCCAUCCUAGGAUAUAGGAGACCCUGUCUCAACCCCCCCAAAUAACAGCCCCCUUGCCCCUCUCCCGAUCCAGGAGAACUGAAGCCUGGAAGCACAGUUAUUUAUGAAGCUGAGGUAGGAGGAACAUCACUAAAUCCAGGCCAGCAAAUUAAUAAGAUCAUGCCUCAAAAUAGAAAAUAACAAAAGGCUGAGGAUACAGUUCACAGGAGCACUGGCCUGGCAUGUGUAACCCCCAGCACUGCAAAAGCAAAACUGAAAAACAAAAGUGACUGUAUAGCACAGUGUUUAAGGGUACGGACUCUGGAGACAGAUUAUCAAGGUUCAAAUCCAAGCUCCACUUAGUGGAUUUGGAAUUAAAGAAGCCAUCUGAACUCAGCUUCCUCACUAUAUAAAUGUUAUUCAAAGAUUAAAGUGAUUCAUAAGUUUUUCAUAUGUCAUAUAACUUUAGCAUUGUGGCAGUUAGGAUCUGAGAUUAGGUUGGCCCGUGACACUGGUUGUGAGCUACCCACGUGGGUGCUAGGAACUACACUCAGGUCCACUCUAAGACCAGCAAGCACUUUAACACUGGGCAAUUUCUCCAGCCUCUUAUUUUGUUCCAGUGUUGGGAGACAGAACAGAGGGCCUCACGCAUGCUAAUGCUGGGCACACUCUGUCUCUAGGGGACAUUCCGGCCCUGGUACUCGUGAGGAUCUGAGCAGUGAACAAGUGUCACUAGGAAAGGGUAAGGGCACCUAUAAAAAGAGCAUCCAUGCAGCAGAUUUUGGUAGACUAUUAAUUACAACAGAUUUUCCUGGAUCAGCAAUACAGGUUAAAGGUCACAGCAGAAUCUUCAAAAGUAAGUUUAUGUACUUUCACAAUUUAUUCCCUUGAAAUUUAACUUAGAUUAGAAAAAUAAUAUUAAAUGUAAAUUUUGGGGUCCCUUAAAUUUUUACCUGGAUCUAAUUUUCUUUCUAUUUCUGUCAGUUUUGGGCCCUAAUUAAAAUCUACCUGUUAAAAAUAUAGAUAAUGCACUAACAGAACUGUUUUGAAAGAUCACAUAGCAUUUACCUAAUAGCAGAUGUUAAAGAGAUCAUUAAAGUAACUUACUUGAUUCAUUUAUUGGGUUUUCCCAGAAAUGAGAGUUAGUAUAAAAAACAAAAAACAAACAAACAACAAAAAAAAUUCAAAACCCAAAACCAAACAAAAAACAAAACAAAACAAAACAAAAAACCCAGGUAAUAUCAUAGACAGCAACUAAUUCAUUAAUUUUUAUAUAUAGCCAGAUCUAUUUCUGUUUUGCAAAGAAAUCAAGGUUUUAUUCUUUUAGCAAGUCAGUGCUGUACCGGGUGUAACUCCUUAUAUGAACAAGCACAAUCAUGGCAUUAAACUUACUUUUCCAAAGAAGCCUUUGAAGAACUUCCUUUCCUGGAGGAACAGGGGACAAGUCGAGUGCUAUUAUUACAUAGGCUAAAUGUCCCGGGUUUCACAUCAAUUAAGACAUAUAGAAGUAAAAGAGAAGGAAAGAUGGGAGAAGGGUGGGGAUAAGUUUUAUAGAGUUAUCCAUACCAGGAGUGACAGGGGAAAGGAAAGGUGCGUGAAAAUGCAGGGAAACACACUGCACGACCUAAGAAUCCAAGGGAAGAGAAAAACUCAGAGCCUGUAUUCAUGCAGGACAACUACUCAAUUUAGGAAUCUCUAUUUUUCCAACAGAGAUUAUCCAAAUUUGGCAGCAGAGAAAAAGAUUAGAACAUACUAGCUGGGCAUGAUGUUGCAUUUAAAAUUCAUAAUAACAAAUAAAAGGUUAGUUCUACAUACAUUUUGCUACUUAAAAUCAAUGGUAGUCAUUGUGGUGGCACGUGCCCAUCAUCCUAUCUCCUUAGGAGGCUGAGACAGGGCCUCCUGAGCCCAGGAGGUCAGGGUCAGCCUUGAUAUCAUAGUAAAAACUUGCCUCCUAAAUAAAAAUAAAACAGGAGCCUGAGAAGCUGUCGGGUCAGCCUGGCCUUCACAGUGAGAUUCCAGAUCAAAGCAAGCAACCAACUUGUGGGCAAAGCACACUUCCCACUGUGUGUAAGGCUGAGUCUGAUGCCCCGGCACUGCAAACCUAACAGAACACAACAAAAACAACCCAUAAAAUUAAGUCACGAGCACACAUCCACAGUCUCAGCAUGCCCUUUAAGUCAGGAAGGAAGCUUCAUUACAGGGGUCCCCAUCUACUAGCAUCAGUCUGCAUAUAACCCGCUCAUCAAUUCUACAACACACAGGGAUAAAGAGCAGGACCUACUCCAGGGGAGACUAAGUAAAGCUAAUGUUUACACUGGGGCACAGAGGAAAAAUGAGAACCAAACCAUGUUCAUGGGUCACAAAUGGAACAAGAAACAGGGUUUUGUUUAACUAUUCUUUUAAAGCAAAGACUCUUGCAUUGAUAUAGCCAUAUAAUUAUCAACUCUCAGGAGAAGGGAGCCAUAACAAGCGAUGGUCCUACCACCAACUGGUUUUGUUUUGUUGAGAUGGUCUUACUAUGUAGCCUGGAACUCACUAUGUAGACCAGGUUGGCCUGAACCUCACAGCGGCCUCUGCAUUCUGAGUGUUGGAAUUAAAAGGGUUCACCACCACAAGUAGCCCUACCAUUAAUUUUUAAGUACCGUUUACAUAAACUGAUUAUUAAGUAAAAUUUGAAGAACUUAUACAGAGUAGAUAGGUUCAUAUUCUCCCAACCCAGUUUUAUAUUCCCUUCUUAGGGCUGAACUAUACUCUUAAUCCUUUACUUUUUAUAAUCAACUUUUGUUGCUGCAAAAAUGUCUAGUAAAAGACCACUAUGGUGAAAAAUGAGUUCAUGAACUCAUUCAGAGCUUUUAAACACGAGAAUGUUUGAAAGUCAUAGAUGGCAUCAAAUAUUUCCACAAGACACUCUAAACUGAAGCUGGAAAAAUAAUCAUGUGAUCCAGGUAGCUUUGCAGCAAGACUAAAAUUAUUUCUGCUGCCAAGUUUGGUGGCACUAGUUUUGUUAGACUACGAGUAACGAUCAGCUUUCAAGGAUGCAGCCAAAGUUACAGAUUCACCAUUCUCACGGGGUGGGGAGUCAACAGUUAAUUCAGCUCCUAGAAAAGCUCUUGUUAAAGACAGGGUUUUUUUCUCUUUCUUAUAAAAGACCCCAGAUGUUAAAGAAAAAAGGUGACAUGCAAAAUGCAUAAAAGACAGAUAUCGGAUUAGAGAAUAUUAAUGUUCUUUAAAAAAACAAGUUAUGAUUCUUUUACCUGCUAAAAUAAGAACAUAUAUUAAAACAAAUAUAUCAAAUAGUGAAUAAAAACCCCAACAUACUAGAAUUACUUAUACAAUGAAAUGAAUCUAAUCCCAAAGUGGGGGGAGAGACACAGAGAGAGAGGGAGAGGAAGAGUGGGAGAGGGAUUGAGCGAGCAAGCGAGAGAGAGAGAGAGAGAGAGAGAGAGAGAGAGAGAGAGAGGGGGGGGAGAGAGAGAGAUUGAGAUUGACUGAUUCAGAAGACAGUGGAAUGAAAUAACCUUUCACAAUAAAAGUCAUUUUGAUUACUGUGAAGCAAGGCAAAGCAUGAUAUAAUAAUUAUAGAACUCACUGCUACGUGACAAUAUUUAUGACCCUAUAACAUACAGGCAACAGAACUAAGCAACAACUGUUUCUAAAAUUAUUUCUAUGCACUCUAAGUACUAUAGUAGUAAUUAGUGAAUUAUGUCACAAAAUAAAUUAGUUAAAAAUAGUUGUUAUGCCAGGGCUACACAGAGAAACCCUGUCGUCUCAAGAAACCAAAAAAAAAAAAAAAAAAAAAAAAGAAGAGAUGUUACUUUACGUACAUAAGGGCAAGAGGUGGCCCGAGGAACACAUUUUAAAAACUAUCCCAAUGCUACUUUCUUCACUUGAGAAUGUCAGCUUUGCCACUCACUUCUAACAGAAGCUAAUGCAAUUCUAGAUUAUUCGGGACCACGUGGGGGGAAGGUCUCUAUAACUGUACAUGUAAAUCACUUUCAAUUUCCUACAAGGUUCAAACCUCUAGAAACGGAAUUGUUUGUUUCUAGGUCGCUCACAUGACAGUCUGUUUUGCUGCUUAACUGGUAUCCUAGCUUCGUAAUUCUCCAUAUUUUAAAGCUUUAGCGUUCAAACAUAUUCCAAAGGUAUUUUGUUUUACUUCUCUGUAGCUUUAUACACUCCUAAAAUUUGUUUCCAUUUAUUUAAAAUUCUUUCAGGAAACUUUAUGAAUUUUUUUGCUAAUAAGCAAAAAAAUAUUAGUAACAUAGUAUUUGGUACAAUAUUAGAACCAGGCACAGCAGGCUAUAGAUCCUAGAUAAAUAUUUGUUAAAAGAAUGUUGUCAAAGACAAGACAAACAGUAUUUCUACAGUAAAAAUUUGAAAGGAAGGAAAAAAAAAAAAAACCAAACCAUGGAGAUAUGUGGAGUCAAGAGACAAUAUCCUGAAGACUUUCUACUUACUACAAGGUUCUCAGUAUAGUACCAAAAGCUUAUCUACAGACCCAUGAUGUUUUUGUCUGUUCACUUUUGUUUAUAGAGACAGGGUUUCUCUGUGUAUCCCUGGCUGUCCUAGAACUCCGUAGGCCAGACUGGCCUUGGAACUCAGAGAUCCACUUGCCUCUGCCUCCGGAGUGCUAGAAUGAAAGGCAUGUGCCACCACCACCUGGUUUAGAACAGUUAAGUUUUACUGAGCAUAAUAAAAAGUUUACCCCUUACCCAAUUUUAUUUUUAAUACACUUGCCAAUGUUAAGUCUAUACAACUGUCCUAAGUGUCCUGGAUAUGCCAGGGGAUGAUGCCAUGUGAUCUUUGGAGUCAGGGUCUCUCUGAACCUGGAGUACACUAACUCACCUACACUGGCUGGCCAGUGAGCUUCAGCGAUCUUUGUUUACACUUCCCAGCUCAGGGACUAUACCCUUAUGGUUUUUGUUUUUAACACAGGUGCUAGGCAAUGUAAACUGAGGUCCUGACGACUGUAUGGCAAGCACUUCACCAACUAAGCUAUGGCCCUGGCCCAGCACGAAAGUAAGCCUACAUCGUUUCCCUUGGGAAAACACACUGCUCUUACUGUUUACUGACAGAACACAGAUCAGGACCAGCAACCACCAAAUACAUACAGCUUUCAAUCUCUUUACGGCAUCUUCACAGAUGUGCAUUCCUCUUGACUCAUCAACUUCUACGUGGCCGAGGUACUGUGGAGAGAAGGGAAGGCGUUAGCUCCACCAAUGCUCACUGAGACACUAUUCUCAGUAGAUAGCUGAGGAUACACAGAGAACCACAAAGAUAUGUGUUAUAGUCUCCCCUCCCCCAGCCUGAAACCUGCUUGCUCAGGGGUGGAGCU
Long non-coding RNA from Mus musculus (house mouse), 8939 nucleotides. RefSeq annotates it as predicted gene, 46367. The record is from RefSeq and is a predicted model, not a curated record. The transcript has 3 exons. NCBI's taxonomy places the organism in Eukaryota, Metazoa, Chordata, Mammalia, Rodentia, Muridae.